GUACAGGCUUGGGCCUACUGCAGUCGUGUGGCAACGCGUAGGUAAGAAUGGCAAGGUGAGUGUGUCUCGACACAACAAGAGGCAACACUACGGUUCAUAUAAACCUGGGAUCUUUAUUGAGAGAGAGCUAAAUCAUCACAAUUAUGUUGGAGGAUAAAUACCUGUAAUAUGUAUGGAUAUAAAAUCAGGUAUGCUGCGGCAAGAUAUAAACAAUGGUAGAGUUGACAAUCGACAAUUGGUUGAGAAAUUCACAGUCUUUAGUCCUGAUCACAAACACUGAAAUAGCACCACUCCUGAUGGAAAAAUUCCACUUCUCCUUGAUGGUGCUGUUCUUCUCGCAGCACUUCGAUACACUAUCGGGAUGUCGGAGGUCUUCUUGGGAAGUUUGCGGGGACGACCGAUUUUCUCCGUUAUUUCUUUCUGGCUCCUUCUUGUGUGCGAUCUUUCUCCUCUUCG
Molecule: long non-coding RNA, 456 nt
Filed under: Androctonus crassicauda
Lineage: Eukaryota; Metazoa; Arthropoda; Arachnida; Scorpiones; Buthidae
Source: RNAcentral